Panthera uncia (snow leopard) is the source of this 847-nucleotide non-coding RNA. NCBI's taxonomy places the organism in Eukaryota, Metazoa, Chordata, Mammalia, Carnivora, Felidae. The record is from the annotation of a RefSeq genome assembly.
ACCAACCACAUUCUAUUAAGCCUAAGAGGCUUUUGAUUCUUCUCUGAAGCAGUGAGGGAGGCGGGUGUGGUCUCCAGCCAGGAAGCAGCUGAAAAAGUGUGGGCCUCGGAGACUAAGUUCAUCACAGCACCAGAUGGCACCAUUCAUCAGGUCCUGCUAUGGGCACCAGGUUCCUCUGCUGUGUUGUCCUUUGUCUCGUCAGAGUAGGCCUCAAGGAUGCUGUAGUCACACAGUUCCCAAGACAUAAGAUCUUGGGGACAGGAAAGAAAUUAAUCCUCCAGUGCACACAGGAUAUGAAUCACUUUUCAAUGUACUGGUAUCGCCAAGACCCUGGAUCUGGCCUGCAGCUGAUCUACUACUCAACUGGUACUGAAGCCUUUGAAAAAGGAGACGUCCCUGAGGGGUAUCACGUCUCUCGAAACGAGUUGCCGAAUUUUCCCCUGACCCUGGACUCUGCCAGCACCAAUCAGACAUCUGUGUAUUUCUGUGCGAGCAGUUUAUCCACAGCGCUGCACAGCCACAUCCUCUCUGCACAAGAAAGAGGCGAACCAAGGAGGGAGGGGACACUGCCUUCAAGAUUCCCAAACCGUGGGGCACCUGGGUGGCUAAGCCCGUGAAGCCUCCGACUUUGGCUCAGGUCGUGAUCUUGUGGUUCGUGAAUUCCAGCCCUGCGUCCAACCUGCUUCUGAUUCUCUCUCUCUCUCUCUCUCUCUCUCUCUGCCCCUCCCCCACUUGUUCUCUCCCUCUCUCUCUCUGUCAAAAAUGAAUAAAAAUUUUAAAAUUAAAAAAACAGAUUCCUAACCCAAAUUAGGGAAAGUUAUCACAUGAGAUUGUAUGGAAUCCCUGC